Molecule: ribosomal RNA, 389 nt
Filed under: uncultured soil bacterium
Lineage: Bacteria
Description: bacterial SSU rRNA
Rfam family: Bacterial small subunit ribosomal RNA
Source: RNAcentral
AGAGUGAACGCUGGCGGUAGGCCUAACACAUGCAAGUCGAACGGCAGCACAGGAGAGCUUGCUCUCUGGGUGGCGAGUGGCGGACGGGUGAGGAAUACAUCGGAAUCUACCUUUUCGUGGGGGAUAACGUAGGGAAACUUACGCUAAUACCGCAUAAGACCUUCGGGUGAAAGCCGGGGACCUUCGGGCCUGGCGCGGAUAGAUGAGCCGAUGUCGAUUAGCUUGUUGGCGGGUAAAGCCCACCAAGCGACGAUCCGUAGCUGGUCUGAGAGGAUGAUCAGCCACACUGGAACUGAGACACGGUCCAGACCUCCGUACGGGAGCAGCAGUGGGAUAGUGGACAGUGGCGCAAGCCUGACUCCAGCCAUACCGCGUGCCGAAGGAAGAGG